CCCUUCGGGGCUUUUUGGGGAUUCAUGAUAACUUUACGGAUCGCAUAGCCUUGCGNCUGGCGACNGGUUCAUUCAAANNNUUUCUGNCCCUAUCAACNUUUCGAUGGUAAGGUAUUNGGCUUANCCAUGGUUUCAACGGGUAACGGGGNAAUUAGGGUUCGAUUCCGGAGAGGGAGCCUGAGNAAACGGCUACCACAUCCAAGGAAGGCAGCAGGCGCGCNAAAUUACCCAAUCCCGACACGGGGAGGUAGUGACAAUAAAUACUGAUACAGGGCUCUUUUGGGUCUUGUAAUUGGAAUGAGUACAAUUUAAACCUCUUAACGAGGAACAAUUGGAGGGCAAGUCUGGUGCCAGCAGCCGCGGUAAUUCCAGCUCCAAUAGCGUAUAUUAAAGUUGUUGCAGUUAAAAAGCUCGUAGUUGAAACUUGGGCCUGGCUGGCGGGUCCGCCUCACCGCGUGCACUCGUCCGGCCGGGCCNUUCCUUCUGAAGAACCUCAUGCCCUUCACUGGGCGUGCUNGGGGAAUCAGGACUUUUACUUUGAAAAAAUUAGAGUGUUCAAAGCAGGCCUUUGCUCGAAUACGUUAGCAUGGAAUAAUAAAAUAGGGCGUGCGUUUCUAUUUUGUUGGUUUCUAGAGACGCCGCAAUGAUUAACAGGAACAGUCGGGGGCAUCAGUAUUCAGUUGUCAGAGGUGAAAUUCUUGGAUUUACUGAAGACUAACUACUGCGAAAGCAUUUGCCAAGGAUGUUUUCAUUAAUCAGUGAACGAAAGUUAGGGGAUCGAAGACGAUCAGAUACCGUCGUAGUCUUAACCGUAAACUAUGCCGACUAGGGAUCGGGCGAUGUUCUUUUUCUGACUCGCUCGGCACCUUACGAGAAAUCAAAG
This 883-nucleotide ribosomal RNA is filed under the name Alternaria breviconidiophora. RNAcentral's name for it is "SSU rRNA". It matches the Rfam family "Eukaryotic small subunit ribosomal RNA", at positions 229 to 1103 of the family's 1831-position model. The record is from RNAcentral. Lineage: Eukaryota; Fungi; Ascomycota; Dothideomycetes; Pleosporales; Pleosporaceae.